GUGUGUGUGUGUGUGUGUUAAAAUGAGCAAAGCAAUUGAGAGUCAGUACCAAAGCAGUCAUGAGUAAAAACUCAGGAACAGAAACAAAAAUGAAAAGAGAAUAAAUGGAACUAAGCUUACAUCAAGCAAUGCAAAACAAUUAUUUUAGUAUAGAUCAUAAUAGAUCUAAAACUUACAAGAAAUCAAGCUACACAAAAUCAAUAAACCAUCAUUUCCUUAAUCAUUUCCAUACACUCACAUCGUCUGUGAACAGAUACGUAAUGCGAACACCCUAGACAACGAAACUGACAAAAAUCAACAAAAAAACAAAAUCCCAGCCAAAUUAACCAAAAUCCUUAAACCCUAGCUAGAUUCCCACAAACCCUAGAGCAUAAAUCCCAAAAAUCAGACAAACAGAUCGAGUUUUGAAAGCAUAAUGGGCAAAUAUAACGCAAAUUCAAGACAUAAAAAAAAAAAGUAGGGGGAAAAACCUACACACAAUUUUACGAAGUUUCAUUACGUUUGGAUCAUAAAAGAGAAUAAGAAGAAUGAUUGAAAAUCAUGAAGAAGAAGAUACACAUAGCAGGGAUGAGAAAUGAGAAAGAGGCAAAGAGAAACCCUAGGUUCACCUGAAAGAGACGCAGAGCCACAAAAAAAAUA
Molecule: unclassified non-coding RNA, 639 nt
Filed under: Hevea brasiliensis (rubber tree)
Lineage: Eukaryota; Viridiplantae; Streptophyta; Magnoliopsida; Malpighiales; Euphorbiaceae
Source: RNAcentral